UAUUAGGUGGUGCAUCAUGUUGUGCAUUUGCCAUGGUGAAUAUCGUGUGUUGAUGCUUGUUUCCGUUUCCUCCAUCUUGAUAGAGUUCCGCAAGCGUGUCGGAAUGUGAGGACCCGUUCGACUACGUUGGUUCGCUGACUUCACGGAGUCAUUCUUCUUCCAAGCGGGAUCUCGGGCAAGAUGACCAUUUCCCCAGAUACCAUUACUAUCAUUGCGAUGCUAGUU
RNAcentral lists this long non-coding RNA (225 nucleotides) under Hordeum vulgare. RNAcentral describes it as "long non-coding RNA (HVUL_LNC006455)". The record is from RNAcentral. Lineage: Eukaryota; Viridiplantae; Streptophyta; Magnoliopsida; Poales; Poaceae.